CACACACACACACACAUACUGCACUGAAUUCAGGUGUAAUCCGACUGAAAUGGAAAUUGCGCUCCUUGAAAACGGAUGAUGAGAGGAAGAUGGCAGGGCCGGCGUCGUGCUCCAUCAGAGAGGGUCAUGGGGGGCCUGGAGCCUAUCCCAGGGGCACAAGACAGGGGACACCAUGGACAGAGUGCCAACCCAUUGUAGGGCACAAUCACACACACAGUACAGACAAUUUAGAAAUGUCAAUCAGCCUACAACAUAUGACUCUGCUGGGUGGAAACCAGGAAGCAUGGGGAGAACGUACAAACUACAAACGGAGGCAGGAAUCGCACUCCCAACCCUGGAGGUGCGAGGCAGACGUGCUAACCACUAAGCCACCGAGGAACUACUACUGCCCCAAAUUUCAUUUUAGAGUGUAUAGACCUCUAAAUGAAAAAGACCUGUUCUUUCUCACUGAUACAGGGAAUAUUUGUUGGUGAUGGUUGGUGGCGGUCAUUUGCUCCGCUACGUGCAGAAUAUGACUGUGCAAAUAUUAGGAGCUCCUCUGCAACGUGAACUUGCACAAGCUGCUUGCUAAUGCAGCCGUAUUACAGCUUCUUUACAACUGGAAGUUACUAGCUAGCAAUGAAACUUAAUGGAUAUUUAACACUUAAGCAUUAGUGGGAAAGGAGAAUGUUUUACCUGCAUCGUCCUGUUCAUCUCUCUCAUUGUUAUUGCUGCUCUGCCCUUUCCCUCUCUCUUCCACCUCCCUCUGACCCUAAGUAGCGUUCAUAUCGUAGCCAAAUAGGAAACAAGGUGUGUUUUCUCUGAAUGUCAUUCAUAUAUAUAUAUAUAUACGUUCAUAUAUGACAUCUGACUCAAAUAUAGUGGGAAACACUUAGAUGCAUGGCAGGUAAAACACUUUCAACAGUUUAUUUUAAAUUAUUCUGGCUUAAGACAUUUGGGCAGUAAAAUAUAAGCGGUUUUAUGUAUGGUGUGAAUGUUCACUGUGGAUCAUUUUUAUGUGCUUUUAAUAUCAACUCCAAAAUCUGAGCAAACUGUAAUAGAGAAAGAAACAGUUGACUUUACAAACUGGCAUCCACACUGAUGCAGAGUUUUCAAAAGUUUCUUAAAGUAAUGAGAAAUAUGAUUUUGAAGUUAAGAGCUUAUUCAAGAGAAAUAUAUAGAACAUACUUAUUAUGCGUGACAGUCCCUAAGCUUAAAGUACCUGUUUAGGAUUCAUCGGUUCGGUUCAAAUCUUAUUUCCCAGCUUAUGCUUAAUUCCUCUAUAGAAAUAUCAAUUAUUUUCCUAAUGUAUUUCAAAUCCUCAUCUUCAACCAUGCUGUUAUCCUACAAAGCCUCAGUCGAACAGGACAAAUGGUCUUAAUGAAGGUGGAACGUGCAGAGAAAAUAAGAUGUUUGGUGUUAUGCAGACCCUGAAGCAAACAAAGCUCCCUAUACACCUUUUGUUGACAAAAAUAUAUACGUUUAGAACUGUAUAGUACAGUACAUUUUAUUAGCGGAGCGGUUGUAUAAACUCACUCUAAUAGAAAGGUUAGAUAAGUGAAUUAAUCCAGGUUUGUCCUUAUGACAAUAACAUUGUUAGAAUGUGUUUAUUUUGAACAUAACAAACAUAUGAACAGGGAGGCACGGUGGCUUAGUGGUUAGUAUGUUUGCCUCGUUCCUCCAGGGUUGGGGGUUUGAUUCCCGCCUCUGCUCUGUGUGCAUGGGGUUUGCAUGUUCUCCCCAUGCCUCGGAGGUUUCCUUCGGGUACUCCGGUUUCCUCCCCCAGUCCAAAGACAUGCAUCGUAGGCUGAUUGUCAUUUCUUAAAUAAAAAUUGUCCUUAGUAUGUGAUUGUGCCCUGUGGUGGCUUGGGCACCCUGUCCAGGGUGUCCCCUGCCUUGUGCCCCAAGUCUCCUAGGAUAGGAUCCAGGCUCCCUGAGACCCUGUGUUGGAUAAGCUGUACAGAAAACGGAUGGAAGUAUAUGCAAAUGUUCUACAUGUUAAACAUUUUGCCAUACACAUCUAUGCCCUCGUUGAUACGUUAAAUAUAUUAUGGUUAUUAAUGUAAGUGCAAAUGACGUGGAGCUCAUAUUCUUCCUAUUAAGGUUAAAUUGAUCACAUAAAGGAACAUAAAGUCUAAUAUAAGCAACACUAUACCGUAUGUUCAUUUUGAAACAUAUUACACAUGAGAGAUAUUUAAAAAUGUUGUAUUUGCAGUUAUACAAACAGAUAUAUCAUAUUUACCGUAUGUGCCCUUUAAAUGGUGGUAUAAGGGCCUUCUCAGGUUGUAAACCAGAAAAUAGGAUUUAAAAGAAAAGCCAGCUCUGUGUGCUGUAUGACACAAUCAUGUAAUGAUUGAAUGUCCAUCAAAUGGGUUUACAAAUUAAAAACAUGAAGAAUGUCUUUCAUCUGAGUGCCAAGGCCACAUCUGGGAGACAUAUGUCCUAGUGAAACGCAUCUACCCAUGCUGAGGGCUGUAGUCGUAUUCGGCCAGUCAUCUUCCGCACAUUCGGCUCAAACUUCUAAGCCUUCUUCAGUGUAUUAUAUUUACUUUGAUAUGUGCGACUGUCCUUGUGUUCGUGUGGAUUUCCGUAAGGUGUGUAAGUGUGUUUGUGUAAGUAAACCCACUCCACCAACCCCCCCGCCCCCCACCCCCCCAAAAAAACCUUGUUCAAACCUAACCAGACAUUAGUGGGAUUGUGGGCCUCCAGCAUUUCAAACACCUUAAUUAGUUAUUCAGCUCCUUAUUUGUGUUUGCUUCCCCCUCCGGCGCCUAAUUAAUGCUUAAUGGAAACUGCUGAACUGAGCCUGUGGAGAGCUCAUGAAUAUUGAAAUUAGCCUGAACGAUUUUUAAAGGGUUGCAGAGGGGAAAGAGGUUAGAAUUGGUAGCACUGGCACUCAUUAUUGUUGUGAGAUAUAUGCUUAUGAUGCACCUAUACAAAUAUAUACAUACAUGUAGUUAAAAGAAUUUCUUCAGUAACAGUAUAAUAAUUGAACACAUACAGACUAAAAUAUAUUUCAAGUGUAUACCACCUUUACCCUCUUAGCACGAUUUACCUUUUUACAUUUUUUAAAAUUGUAUUUGAUGCUCAUGACAUCAGUCAUAAAAGUUCUCAACUCAUUAUAUUCCGCGAAACUGCCAAACUACUCCAGAAGGAUUUAUACAUAAUGCUGAUUAUCUAAAAAUGGAAGACUUGAUGACUUGAACUGUAGUUUUCAUGCCAUAACCAUAAAGGUAAUACAUCUUAACGAUUAGCACAUGAAAUUGUAAACAUGUUUAUUAAUUUUCCCUCGAAAAAAAAAAAAAAAAAAGGGCUCUGUGAACUGAAAGGGACUGCAAGCAGAAAAUCAUUUAAAAAUAUACACUAAUAGGAGAAAUUUUUUACAUAAUUUAUAAACAAAUUUAUAAUUCAAAUGUGUUUUAUUCAAAUCCGUAGCAUUUCUAUUGUCAUGAUUAUUCAAGUCUGUAGAACAGUUGCAGAUUUACCACAACUUCAUUUAAAUUACAUUUAUGAAAAAUUAUGCCCAUUCUUUAAACGGAACAGGGAAACAAGGCCUGUUUUCAGACCAGUGGUUUAACAGAGACUGGCAUCAGAGUCACUAACUUUCAUAGAAGUUAUUCAAAUGCAGUUUGACUUAUGACAAGAUACGCAGUUCGCGAAGCCGAACAUUCCCAUUAGUGCAUCCCGCAUUAGCAUAACAAGGCCUCUUCUGGCAGUUUAGUUUUCCUGACAUCCGCAAAGUCUGUUAAGAAAUGCAGGACUCAUCGGUGGAAGAUGACUGCAUAUCUGUCCAGCCAUGUGAGCAAUCCAAGAUCAUGCAGUGAUAAAACAUUGCCUGAAGUUACCAGCAAUGUGUAUGUAAAUGAGCAUUUUCCUGAAAAGAACUGUGAAAUCUCAACUUAUGAGGACCUUUAAAAACAUUCAUCUGACAUAGUGUAAUGCUGACAGUAUGACUGGCAUGUUUUAGAUUUGGUUUGGGGUUUUUUCGAGGAAUUUUGUGGACAUGAAUGGAAUAAAAAAAAAAGGUACCACAGGAAUUAUCAAAGGAAAAAUAUGUAUCAAAGGAAAAGAAUAUCAAAAGGAUCACAGAAAUUACAAUGCAUACAGUGUUUUCAUGCAUAUACAGAACCAGUAAAGUGGGAUUUUUACCAGAAGAGUAGAGAAAAAUGGCGAUCUGUUUAGCUGUUAAUUUACUUUUUUUUUUUUUUUUUUUUAAAUUAAUUUUAUUUAAUUACAAGAGACACUAAUUUGUUUCUUCAUGGUCUUCUAAGUUUGUGAAAAUAUCUAUUUAAGUUCAUCCAGUCUCUUUAACAUAUUACUUGGAAGAAAGAAAAAAAAAAGAUUUCUUGUGAUUAAAUUUUUUUUUUUAUAUAUAUAUUUGAAAGAUAUAAAUGCAUUCACAUGAAUUAGUGUACAAUGGUCACAUAUAAUUAAAGCAUAAUACCUUCAGCUGGAAUACAGGGAGCUUACUGCAUAAUAUAUUACUAUGCAAAUGUGGAAUUAAUAAAUCUGUUAUUUAUAUAUUUUUGACCUUUUCUUGAUCUUUUUGGUCUAGCUGUGAACACUUUUUUAAAAAAUAGUAAACGCUUGGUAAUCCUGUCUACAACGAACACGAAUAAAUAAAUAAAUAAAUAAAUAAAUAAAUAAGAUCUUUUCUUAGGAUGGUGACAGUUAUGAUCAUAGACACUUGAUAACUUAAGGGUACAUUCAGUAGGUAAAACUUUUCGCUGUUGUCACUUUCCAUACAAGUUCUGUGCAGUUAAAAUCUAGGAGUCAUGGGUCACAGAAGAGCAGCAAGCAUUGUUUUAGGCAGUGAAAUAUUAGCGGUGAUAAACAUUAAGGGCUCCGUCAAGCCCUGUUAGAUAUCCUCGAUGUGGUUCAGUCAUUCUGUGUUCCCAGGGCAAGGACUAUUUAAUUAUCACACUAAAUGAAUAAUCAAAAAGUCAAUUUCCAAAGAACCCCCUGCUUGCCUGCAUGAAGAAGACAAUUGCAUUUAUAAUAUCUGUAUGCAAAAUCUGUCUCUCACCCCCCCACCACCUCCAUACACCCCCGCAUGCCUUGGAGCUAUGCAAAACAAAUGCAUAUGAAUCCCUCCCCCUUCCGUGAUUUAAAGUUGUCCUUUACAGCUAAUGAAAUGUUGUAGCGGUUCUCACUGCCUAGCAUGAAGAAGGAGACUGAUGGUACAUCAUGUUCUACACCACUCUUUAAGUGAUCUUUAUUGAUCUAUUUGUGCAAGGCAUGUCAAAAGAGGUUAAUUAUUCAAUAACCGAUCACUUGCUGGCCUUGACAAGCAUGCAGAUUGUGUAUGUACGAGGGAAUGCGAAUCAAACUGUAUCGGUGCGUCACGAUUUAGUGCAACAUUUACUUCCACACCAUCUUAGCAAUCAACAUGGGUAAUCAGAUUGACU
Ictalurus punctatus (channel catfish) is the source of this 5387-nucleotide long non-coding RNA. The record is from Ensembl. Lineage: Eukaryota; Metazoa; Chordata; Actinopteri; Siluriformes; Ictaluridae.